GACUUCGAACAGGCCGAGUGGUACUACGACGGUCUCGAGCAGCUUGCCGCGCAUAUGCUGAACCCGGAGGCGAAGAUUGCGGCGCUCGAGCGGCGCGGACUGAGUCAGGAACAGCUGGGCGCCUACGACGCCGCGAUCGAGAGCUGGACGGCGGCGGCGACCCUCAGCCGCAACAUCGGCCUGCCGGCGCUGCUGAAGACGAACCUCGAGCACCUGCAGCGG
RNAcentral lists this unclassified non-coding RNA (222 nucleotides) under uncultured fungus. RNAcentral describes it as "sequence contains ITS1". The record is from RNAcentral. Lineage: Eukaryota; Fungi.